UCUUUAUAUUCAUAUAAAUAACUUGUGUAUUAUAUAUAUAUUUAAAAAAAAAUUUUGGUUCAUUUCAUUAUAGCACCACUCUCGAGAAAUCUCACUGUACAAAAUAAAAAACAAAAAAGAACAAGAAGCAAGUUGUAGAGUUGUUUGUUUUAAAUUAACAUUUACAAAGUUAUGGAACAUUUGUAAAAAUUUUGAAAGGAAAAAAAAGGCACUUGUUGAUUCUUUGAUAUAUAAAAAAUACGAAGGCGAUUGUGUAAUAUCGCCCAAGAAACAAAACGUUCGCAGGGAGACCACUGGACCAUAAAACGGCGGAAUGGAGGAGCGAAAAUAAAACAACUUUUACUCGCACAUAUUAUAUAUCAGGCGAGCGUUUGUUUAUUCUAUUUGUCAGAUGCGCUUGUUGAUAUUGUGCGCACGCAUUCCUUAGGGAGACCGCUUAACUCUAUAGUAGUUAUCAAAAGUCCUGGACCCGCCUCUUGGUCCGAGACGGUGAACAGCGGCUGGAGGUGACGAGUUUGACGAGGAGGAUGGUAAUGGCGACGAGGUGAAUAACGGACGGUUCGUUGUUGCCUCUGAAGAACUAUAGCUGAACUUUCUUCUCGUUUCUUUCUCCGAAGAAAUGUCGACUUCAGCACGUUCUUUAACGGAGGCUCUGUGCCAAAAUAUCAACAAGGAAAAAAGUAUGCACUUGGGCCUAUGGUCGCCAUUUCUGCUAAUCGUUCUAGCGUUUUUAAGAACCUAUUAAGAGGAACCGUGGUGCGACACUUGAUAACGAUUGCCAGUAGGAAAAGGCGGGCACUUUGCCAAGUGGAAGAACAAAGAAAAAAGGCGGCAAAGGAACGAAUAAUCUGCAGAUGGCGCGAUCGUUGUUUGUUGUAGCCGAAGACGGGGUUAGCUGCCCUGUUGAACAAUGAACGCUACGCGAUUCGAUUUACAACUUAUCUUUUUUGAGAUAAAGGGAAAGUAAUGACAACCAGAUGUACCACGAAUGAUCAUUCAGCAUCGACGCAAAGACCUGUUAGGAGAGAUCAAGUUCUGGCUAAUCAACCACCCAUUACUAGGGCUAGAUAUUUGAAUAUUAUGGAGUCUUCACGUCCUGGCAGGAGAACAACUGCCCGAUCUGCAAGUGAGAAUCAAUCAAGAGUUAGAAUAGCUUCAAAUUCGACAAGUCGACGAGAACGAAAUGGAGAAUCGACAAAUCGUGUCACCGCUAGGCAACAAUCAGACAAUCCUGUUAUCCUUGACGUUCAAAUAGCUCAAAGUUCUCUGGAAAGGCAUCAGCACAUCCUUAGAGACGCCAUCUUACAAAAUACUCUCAGUGUUUCCGUUACCCCUAGUCCCGCAUCGAACUCGGUUGUUCCGAAUUUAGCCAAUACUUCCGUCAACAUUAAUCAAACGACUGUCACCGAACCGACAGAUACUUUGCCAGAUAUUAUAAGUUCUAACUCCAUGCGACGACCAUCAAUAUCAAUUGUCCAUUCGUCGAGGACCGAUGAUAAUCAGAACUUAGAGCGAGAUUGCUCGGAAUGCUGCUUCUCAUGUGUUACACUGGCAACUAGUCUGCGUUGGGUUUUAAUAGGUUUGGCAAUGUUUGGUGUUUGUUGUGUGGCGGCGGGAAUUGUCCUAGGAAGUCUUCAUGUGACUCUAAAGGAACAAAGUUUUCUAACACUAUCUCUAAUGUUUAUAGGCCUAGGAAUAUUAUUGGUUAUUAUUGUUGGUUUUGGUUGGAGGUGUUCAACAAAUAGAGAAGAGCCUUGCCACGCGCUAUUCGGAUUAGGGGAUUAUGCAACCCCUGGUGGUCGCAGACGAAGGAUGACCAGUAGGCCUGAAAGAAAUCGUGGAGGCGGUAGUUUGCCCUCUAGGAGGCCUCAUUUAGCACCGCCUACAUACGAACAAUCCCAGCUAGAUCACAUAGUUACUCAGAUCCGCCUAGGGCAAACAGACCAAAGUCUCCCGUCGACGGCUCCACCUAGCUAUAGGUCUAGAGUUUCGACUAGGCCACAAAUAGUCACCAAUCGAUCGAAUCCACCCAGUUAUAGGUCAAGACAAAGUACAAUUGAACGACCUUCCAUCUUUACGACGACAACUGAUGAGGCCCUUCGUCAGUUAGAUGUUGUUAUCGCAAGUCACGGCGUGCCAGAUACGGCUUUGUAAAUAAAAGGCCGAAAUAACAGCAUUUUAUUUUAUGAUUUACAUAAUCUCUCUUCUUCCAAGUUUUAUAUGCAUAGAUCAUAUAUUCAGUAUUAUUUUCAGUUUUUUUUUCUCUGUUUUAAACCUUAGUUCAAUAAAAUAACAACAGAUGGCGCUUUAACAAAAGAACGACAUCUGUUGAAAAAGUUCCUAUACUCAUAUAACGUAGUCAAGUUUGUAGAUUGUACAUAAAGAGAGCGGCGUCGCGCUUCUUACUCUUUCAACUUUCCUUCUCGAGUGACGUCCGUCUAAUAAGCAUAAUGGAAUUGAGUGGGUGACGAGUGUUUGCGUCGGCUUCCUAUGUCUAUAUUGUCUAUGUACGACUAUUAUAUAUUAGAUGCAUUAUCCACUGUUCAAAGGGAUAUACUGAGGAUAUAUAAAUAUAUGUAUAGAUAUAUAUAUAUAUAAGCA
RNAcentral lists this unclassified non-coding RNA (2601 nucleotides) under Dimorphilus gyrociliatus. RNAcentral describes it as "dgyrCDS7294". The record is from RNAcentral. Lineage: Eukaryota; Metazoa; Annelida; Polychaeta; Dinophilidae.